UUUUCUCACUUGCAUGAGCUUGAUCUUCGUUAUCAUCUAAGCCGGCAAACUGGAGCUCUAAAUCGCAUAAUUGACAGAGGCAGCAAUGCAAUAAAUUUCAUUCUUACAGUGACAGUGUUCAAUAUUGUUCCCACAAUACUAGAGGUACUCACAGUUAUUUCUCCAACGGUUACCAUCCAUCAGUUGUGCAUACUGUGAUAUUGCUGUUGCUUUUGGUAAUUGAUGCCACUUAUUCU
Molecule: long non-coding RNA, 236 nt
Organism: Hordeum vulgare subsp. vulgare (domesticated barley)
Lineage: Eukaryota; Viridiplantae; Streptophyta; Magnoliopsida; Poales; Poaceae
Exons: 2
Source: RefSeq, a predicted model, not a curated record